RNAcentral lists this ribosomal RNA (1023 nucleotides) under uncultured cyanobacterium. Its description in RNAcentral is "bacterial SSU rRNA". It matches the Rfam family "Bacterial small subunit ribosomal RNA", at positions 377 to 1416 of the family's 1533-position model. The record is from RNAcentral. Lineage: Bacteria; Bacillati; Cyanobacteriota.
GAAAGCCUGACGGAGCAACGCCGCGUGAGGGACGAAGGCCUUUGGGCUGUAAACCUCUUUUCUCAAGGAAGAAGACCUGACGGUACUUGAGGAAUAAGCCACGGCUAAUUCCGUGCCAGCAGCCGCGGUAAUACGGGAGUGGCAAGCGUUAUCCGGAAUUAUUGGGCGUAAAGCGUCCGCAGGCGGCCGUUUAAGUCUGUUGUUAAAUCGUGGAGCUCAACUCCAUCACGGCAAUGGAAACUGUUCGGCUUGAGUAUGGUAGGGGCAGAGGGAAUUUCCGGUGUAGCGGUGAAAUGCGUAGAUAUCGGGAAGAACACCAGUGGCAAAAGCGCUCUGCUGGGCCAUUACUGACGCUCAUGGACGAAAGCCAGGGGAGCGAAAGGGAUUAGAUACCCCUGUAGUCCUGGCCGUAAACGAUGAGCACUAGAUGUUGGGGGAAUCGACCCCCUCGGCGUCGUAGCUAACGCGUUAAGUGUUCCGCCUGGGGAGUACGCACGCAAGUGUGAAACUCAAAGGAAUUGACGGGGGCCCGCACAAGCGGUGGAGUAUGUGGUUUAAUUCGAUGCAACGCGAAGACCUUUACCAAGGCUUGACAUCCUGCGAAUCUCCAAGAAAUUGGAGAGUGCCUUCGGGAACGCAGUGACAGGUGGUGCAUGGCUGUCGUCAGCUCGUGUCGUGAGAUGUUGGGUUAAGUCCCGCAACGAGCGCAACCCACGUUUUUAGUUGCCAGCAUUCAGUUGGGCACUCUAGAAAGACUGCCGGUGACAAACCGGAGGAAGGUGUGGACGACGUCAAGUCAUCAUGCCCCUUACGCCUUGGGCUACACACGUACUACAAUGCUACGGACAAAGAGUAGCGAUCUUGCGAAAGUUAGCUAAUCUCGUAAACCGUGGCUCAGUUCAGAUCGUAGGCUGCAACUCGCCUACGUGAAGGAGGAAUCGCUAGUAAUCGCAGGUCAGCAUACUGCGGUGAAUACGUUCCCGGGCCUUGUACACACCGCCCGUCACACCAUGGAAGUUGGCC